AAACCAUGGUGGGGAAACUGUCUUAGCAAACUCUAGAAUCUGUCUCAUGCUUCAAAUAGUAAUUCUCCAUCUACCUGAGUAAAAUUUGUAAUGCAAUUCCUCAUGUAC
Molecule: small nucleolar RNA, 108 nt
Organism: Zingiber officinale
Lineage: Eukaryota; Viridiplantae; Streptophyta; Magnoliopsida; Zingiberales; Zingiberaceae
Source: RefSeq, a predicted model, not a curated record